GGGAGACACAGAUGAAUCAUGAGCUCCGGAUGAGAUCACAAUGUAAAAUGCAGUCCUGUGCUUUCAGAAAACAAGAGAAGAACAGCUGAAGUUUUCUACAAUUAGGACCUAUGUAGAACGCCCUUUCAUAACAAUGAGACCAUACUCAUCGACUCCUGGUAGCACCUGGUAGCACUUCAAGAGGAAGAUGGGCUGCAAUUAGGCUCUUUAUGUAGUUUGCUAGCUAUUGGAAGGUGCCUUCUCUGAAACUAGCUUGCGUGAGAGAUACACAACACAUCUGGGUGUUGCACUACUCCAGGUCUCUGCAUCUUUGCUUGAUCAUAGCCAGUCCUU
Molecule: long non-coding RNA, 333 nt
Organism: Microtus oregoni (creeping vole)
Lineage: Eukaryota; Metazoa; Chordata; Mammalia; Rodentia; Cricetidae
Exons: 4
Source: RefSeq, a predicted model, not a curated record